This 830-nucleotide long non-coding RNA is filed under the name Homo sapiens (human). RNAcentral describes it as "HSALNT0073327". The record is from RNAcentral. Lineage: Eukaryota; Metazoa; Chordata; Mammalia; Primates; Hominidae.
AAGCAAAGUCCAAAGCCUUUGUCUUCUGUGCAACCAGUGAGCUCUGCCUACACACACACGGUGGUCUUCAGUGAGCACAUUCCUUUUCUUUUCGGACAUAGUCAGAUAAAGGAACUUGCACGGGGUGCUUUCCUAAGACAGACCUGUAGCUGUAUAGAUAAGGAAAGUUACACAGAACCAGACACGUCCGCAGUGACACAGAGUCAAUAAGCAAAAUAAAACAACAUGCAGUAACUCAGGCUAAGGACCUGCAUGCACACUAGAGGGAAGAGGUGGAGCUAACAAGAAUUUGUAUGUAUGCAAAUAAGACAUCCAGUCCUAACCAGUUUUUCAUGCCUUAUGCACACAAAACACUGUGACUCAUUAGCUUUUAUUUUUGUAUAUAAAAGUCUGCAUUCAACUGUGAAAUGACAACCCUCUCAGUCUUCCUCUUCACAGUAGUCAGCUUUUCUCUUUCGCUUAUUAAACUUCUCUUCCAACAUUACCAUUGGUGUCCACAAUCCUUAAAUUUUGGGUCUUGAGACAAAGAACUCCUGGUGAUACUUCAAACAACAAGACUGCUCCAGUGACCCUAGGCUGCUUCACUGUAAAAGCAAACUUCCAGAAACAAAACAGACAAAACUUUGUGACGACAAAUAUCACAGUUGCCACACAGGCCAGCAGAAACCCAAUCACAUCCAAAGAGUGGUACUGGAACCAGGCUGGAGUGCAGCAGCAGCACCAUCUUGGCUCACUGAAACGCUCACCUCCCGAGUUCAAGCGAUUCUUUCACAUCAGCCUCCUGAGUAGCUGGAACUACAGGUACAUGCCACCGCACCUGGCUAAUUUUU